Molecule: long non-coding RNA, 233 nt
Filed under: Mytilus galloprovincialis (Mediterranean mussel)
Lineage: Eukaryota; Metazoa; Mollusca; Bivalvia; Mytilida; Mytilidae
Source: RNAcentral
GAACACGUGCUGGUUGGACUUGUUUUAUUCACCAAUCAAAAUGACUUUUAGAAUACUUAUUUUUAUGAAGACAGUUUCUAUUGGUUAGAUCUCUUUUUAUCUAAUUUACAUUUUUACAUAAUUUGGGGUUACUAUUUUUAAUUACUUAAUACCUUGUUUUUACGGCCAUUAGGGAAAUCCGAUUAUUUCGGUUAGAUAGAAUUCUAAGUGAACAAUGGUAAAGAAUUAGAUAU